RNAcentral lists this ribosomal RNA (254 nucleotides) under uncultured bacterium. RNAcentral describes it as "partial 16S ribosomal RNA". It matches the Rfam family "Bacterial small subunit ribosomal RNA", at positions 524 to 776 of the family's 1533-position model. The record is from RNAcentral.
UACGAAGGGGGCUAGCGUUGCUCGGAAUCACUGGGCGGUAAAGGGUGCGUAGGCGGCGCGGUAAGUCGGGUGUGAAAUCUUGGAGCUUAACUCCGAAACUGCAUUCGAUACUGCCGUGCUUGAGGACUGGAGAGGAGACUGGAAUUUACGGUGUAGCGGUGAAAUGCGUAGAUAUCGUAAGGAAGACCAGUGGCGAAGGCGGGUCUCUGGACAGUUCCUGACGCUGAGGCACGAAGGUCAGGGGAGCAAACGGG